GAUGAACGCUGGCGGCGUGCCUAAUAUAUGCAAGUCGAGCGAACGGACGAGAAGCUUGCUUUUCUGAUGUUAGCGGCGGACGGGUGAGUAACACGUGGAUAACCUACCUAUAAGACUGGGAUAACUUCGGGAAACCGGAGCUAAUACCGGAUAAUAUUUUGAACCGCAUGGUUCAAAAGUGAAAGACGGUCUUGCUGUCACUUAUAGAUGGAUCCGCGCUGCAUUAGCUAGUUGGUAAGGUAACGGCUUACCAAGGCAACGAUGCAUAGCCGACCUGAGAGGGUGAUCGCCCACCUUGGAGCUUGGACGGCGUCAAGGCUCCUACGGGACGCAGCAGAAUGGUACCUUCCGCAACGGGCGGAAGCCUGACGGAGCAGCGCCGCGUCAGUGACGAAGGUCUUCGGUUCGUAAUACUCUGUUAUUAGUGAAGAACAUAUGUGUAAGUAACUGUGCACUUCUUGACGGUACCUAAUCAGAAAGCCACGGCUAACUACGGG
This 497-nucleotide ribosomal RNA is filed under the name uncultured bacterium. RNAcentral describes it as "partial 16S ribosomal RNA". It matches the Rfam family "Bacterial small subunit ribosomal RNA", at positions 28 to 507 of the family's 1533-position model. The record is from RNAcentral.